GAUUUUAAAAUAUAAAUUAGCACCAAAAUAAUUAAUUUAAAAAAAAAAUAUAGCGACUGUUUAUAACGACAAUCAAACGAACAACACAUCGACAAUUAUUAGCGAUUGUCGCUGUAAUUGGUCGUUGAAUCUAGCGACAGACAAACGAACAAUGUAUGUUGUCGAUUGUUGCUGUCGCUGGAUCCAGCGACAGAGAAACGAACAGGGCAUAUGCCUUCGAAAAUAUCUCAUGUUAGGGUUAGGCCAUGCAAAUAU
This 255-nucleotide small RNA is filed under the name Arabidopsis thaliana (thale cress). RNAcentral's name for it is "ATSL071520". The record is from RNAcentral. Lineage: Eukaryota; Viridiplantae; Streptophyta; Magnoliopsida; Brassicales; Brassicaceae.